RNAcentral lists this ribosomal RNA (462 nucleotides) under Triticum aestivum (bread wheat). Its description in RNAcentral is "partial small subunit ribosomal RNA". Lineage: Eukaryota; Viridiplantae; Streptophyta; Magnoliopsida; Poales; Poaceae. The record is from RNAcentral.
AUGUUAGAGGAUCACAGAAAGGCGCUGUACCCCGGAUGCGAUGAUGGUCUGAAAAAGCUGGGCUGCACACUGGAUUUGCUGAAAUGGAAGGCAGAGGCAGGUGUAGCUGACUCGGCAUUUGAAAACUUGCUGAAAAUGUUGAAGAAUAUGUUUCCAAAGGAUAACGAGUUGCCCGCCAGUACGUACGAAGCAAAGAAGGUUGUCUACCCUCUAGGUUUAGAGGUUCUGAAGAUACAUGCAUGCAUCAACGACUGCAUCCUCUACCGCGGUGAAUACGAGAAUUUGAAUGAAUGCCCGGUAUGCACUGCAUUGCGUUAUAAGAUCAGAGGCGAUGACCCUGGUGACGAUGUUGAGGGCCAGAAACCCAGGAAGAGGGUUCCCGCCAAGGUGAUGUGGUAUGCUCCUAUAAUACCACGGUUGAAACGUCUGUUCAGGAACAAAGAGCAUGCCAAGUUGUUGUGA